GUGACGACAACGUGAAGACAUUAGAGAAAACAUGUGAAGACAUUGAUAAAUAUGUGAACAACCCGAAUUUUGCAUUAGUGCAUUAGUGGUGACCUGUAUUUUUUUGCUCGACAGUUUUCGAUUUGCGGGAAAGUUUUUUCAGCCUUCGGGCUUCGGACGGUUUGCUUGGUUUGCUGUUUGCUUUUAAUUGCGAAAAAUAAAUUAACAAAAACAACACGCAAGCACCAGUUACCCAAUUUUGAGGAAAUUUGCCGCCAUGAUCAAAUUAAUUCUACUCAUUUUUUGACGUCUUCGAACAACUGAAAAAAAAAAUUAUUAAAAUUCAACUCAGCCGCUGAGUAGCCCAGAGUGAGCGUGUACUCAUUUUUUGACGUCUUCGAACAACUGAAAAAAUGAUUAAAAUUCAACUCAGCCACUGAGUAGCCCAGAGUGAGCGUGUACUGUGAAGCAUUCUCAGCUGUCAAAAUUCCGUUUGGUAAAAAAGGCAAAAUUUCGUGAACCUCUUUUCUUUUCAACUGCGUACCACGCUAAAAAACUAAUGAAGUUAAUAAUGAGAAUCAUAAUAAAAAAUAUUACCACAAAUAAA
Wyeomyia smithii (pitcher-plant mosquito) is the source of this 586-nucleotide long non-coding RNA. RefSeq lists it as uncharacterized. The record is from RefSeq and is a predicted model, not a curated record. NCBI's taxonomy places the organism in Eukaryota, Metazoa, Arthropoda, Insecta, Diptera, Culicidae. The transcript has 2 exons.